RNAcentral lists this long non-coding RNA (241 nucleotides) under Phoenix dactylifera (date palm). Its description in RNAcentral is "long non-coding RNA (PDAC_LNC017792)". The record is from RNAcentral. Lineage: Eukaryota; Viridiplantae; Streptophyta; Magnoliopsida; Arecales; Arecaceae.
AAAAAAAUCCCCUCCUUUUUAAACCCUUCGUCACCAAGACACGGACCGACACCGCACCAACCCCUCCUCUCUCUCGCUCGCUGUAGUCGGGAGAGAAGCAUGCAGCGGCAGUCGCUCGGGUCGCCGGGCGCGAAGCUCCAGAUGAGCGGAGCCGCCGGCGGAGGGGACAAGGAGGAGAGGCGAAGGAGCGCUGGUGGAGCGGCGGCGGUGACGGUGCCGGAGGAGGAGCAGAUCAAGGCCG